This 484-nucleotide ribosomal RNA is filed under the name uncultured bacterium. RNAcentral describes it as "partial 16S ribosomal RNA". It matches the Rfam family "Bacterial small subunit ribosomal RNA", at positions 30 to 507 of the family's 1533-position model. The record is from RNAcentral.
AUUGAACGCUGGCGGCAGGCCUAACACAUGCAAGUCGAGCGGAUGAAGGGGGCUUGCUCCUGGAUUCAGCGGCGGACGGGUGAGUAAUGCCUAGGAAUCUGCCUGGUAGUGGGGGAUAACGUCCGGAAACGGGCGCUAAUACCGCAUACGUCCUGAGGGAGAAAGUGGGGGAUCUUCGGACCGCACGCUAUCAUAUGAGGCUAGGUUGGAUUAGCUAGGUGGUGGGGUAAAGGCCUACCAAGGCGACGAUCCGUAACUGGUCUGAGAGGAUGAUCAGUCACCUUGGAACUGAGACACGGUCCAGACUCCUACGGGAGGCCGCAGUGGGGAAUAUUGCACGAAGGGCGAAAGCCUGAUCCAGCCAUGCCGCGUGUGUGCAGAAGGUCUUCGGAUUGUAAAGCACUUUAAGUUGGGAGGAAGGGCAGUAAGUUAAUACCUUGCUGUUUUGACGUUACCAACAGAAUAAGCACCGGCUAACUUCGUG